This 864-nucleotide ribosomal RNA is filed under the name uncultured bacterium. RNAcentral describes it as "bacterial SSU rRNA". It matches the Rfam family "Bacterial small subunit ribosomal RNA", at positions 8 to 916 of the family's 1533-position model. The record is from RNAcentral.
AGAGUUUGAUCCUGGCUCAGAACGAACGCUGGCGGCAGGCCUAACACAUGCAAGUCGAACGCUCGUAGCAAUACACGAGUGGCGCACGGGUGAGUAACACGUGGGAAUCAACCCAGAGGUUCGGAAUAACCGCGGGAAACUGCGGCUAAUACCGGAUAUCCCCUACGGGGGAAAGAUUUAUCGCCUUUGGACGAGCCCGCGUCCGAUUAGCUAGUUGGUGAGGUAACGGCUCACCAAGGCUCCGAUCGGUAGCUGGUCUGAGAGGACGACCAGCCACACUGGAACUGAGAUACGGUCCAGACUCCUACGGGAGGCAGCAGUGGGGAAUAUUGGGCAAUGGAGGCAACUCUGACCCAGCCAUGCCGCGUGGGUGACGAAGGUCUUCGGAUUGUAAAGCCCUUUCGGCGGGGACGAUGAUGACGGUACCCGCAGAAGAAGCCCCGGCUAACUUCGUGCCAGCAGCCGCGGUAAUACGAAGGGGGCUAGCGUUGUUCGGAAUUACUGGGCGUAAAGGGCGUGUAGGCGGCCCGUUAAGACAGGUGUGAAAUUCCUGGGCUCAACCCAGGACGUGCGCCUGUGACUGGCGGGCUUGAGUCCGGGAGAGGAUGGUGGAACUCCCAGUGUAGAGGUGAAAUUCGUAGAUAUUGGGAAGAACACCCGUGGCGAAGGCGGCCAUCUGGACCGGUACUGACGCUAAGGCGCGACAGCGUGGGGAGCAAACAGGAUUAGAUACCCUGGUAGUCCACGCCGUAAACGAUGAGUGCUAGACGUUGGGAAGCCUAGCUUUUCAGUGUCGCAGCUAACGCAUUAAGCACUCCGCCUGGGGAGUACGGCCGCAAGGUUAAAACUCAAAGGAAUUGACGG